UCUUUAAGUUCCAUGUUGCUUAUUAUGAUGAAGAAGGAACAUACAUCUCUGGCUAUAAAUCUGCAUCUCGGAACUAUUUGUUUGGGAAAAUGGGUUACUUCUUUGAUAUUGUGGCCUCUUUCCCAUCAGGAUUGAUAGUGCUGAGUUUAAUUGGUACUAUACAUGCAGAAACAUAUUUUGCUUUUAUUAUAAAAAUUCGCCUCCUACAUCUGCCAAAAAUUCUUUCUGCACUGAUUUUCAUGAGAGAGGAAGAGAAAUCCAUUAGUACCAAUUUGCUUGUAAUAAGAAUCAUCAAGUAUUUGGUCCAAGGGGUUCUCUUUGUGCAUAUUACUGCUCUUAUAUGUGUGUUGUACGCAGAGAAUACUGACAGGUUCCGUGGGGAUAUAGAGGCAUCAUACUUUGUCAAAAAGUAUAUGUAUGGAGCAUACUGGACACUGGCAACGUACACAACAACUGGUUUUGGAGAUUUUCGUCCUAGAAAUUUCGGUGAAAUGUUAUUCACCAUUUUUUUAAUGAUUAUAGCGAAGAUGCAUGUAAUUUACAACAUGGGGGUCCUUUCCUCUUCUCAAACAAAUAAGCAGUCACUCCAGGUUGCCUUUGAGGAGAAGCUACAGGUACAAAUUGUGUUUAAAGUGAUUUAAAAAUGCAAACGCAAUUAAUCACAUACAUUAAACUGUAUAUAGUAAAACAU
This is a long non-coding RNA of Alosa sapidissima (American shad), 691 nucleotides long. RefSeq lists it as uncharacterized. The record is from RefSeq and is a predicted model, not a curated record. Lineage: Eukaryota; Metazoa; Chordata; Actinopteri; Clupeiformes; Clupeidae. The transcript is spliced from 3 exons.